Molecule: ribosomal RNA, 484 nt
Filed under: uncultured bacterium
Lineage: Bacteria
Description: partial 16S ribosomal RNA
Rfam family: Bacterial small subunit ribosomal RNA
Source: RNAcentral
AUUGAACGCUGGCGGCAGGCCUAACACAUGCAAGUCGAGCGGAUGAACGGAGCUUGCUCCUGUCUUCAGCGGAGGACGGGUGUGUAAUGCCUAUGAACUUGCCUUGUCGUGGGGGAUAACGUCCGGAAACGGGCGCUAAUACCGCAUACGUCCUGAGGGAGAAAGUGGGGGAUCUUCGGACCUCACGCUAUCAGAUGAGCCUAGGUCGGAUUAGCUAGUUGGUGGGGUAAAGGCCUACCAAGGCGACGAUCCGUAACUGGUCUGAGAGGAUGAUCAGGCACACUGGAACUGAGACACGGUCCAGACUCCUACGGGAGGCAGCAGUGGCGAAUAGUGGAAGAUGGGCGAAAGCCUGAUCCAGCCAUGCCGCGUGUGUGAAGAAGGUCUUCGGAUUGUAGAGCACUUUAAGUUGGGAGGAAGGGCAGUAAGUUAAUACCUUGCUGUUUUGACGUUACCAACAGAAUAAGCACCGGCUAACUUCGUG